Molecule: transfer RNA, 57 nt
Filed under: Oxytate striatipes
Lineage: Eukaryota; Metazoa; Arthropoda; Arachnida; Araneae; Thomisidae
Description: tRNA-Arg
Source: RNAcentral
UAAGAAAGUAGCUUGUAAGCGGCUUAAUUUCGACUUAAGAUAUGGAAAAUUUAGUGA